This 339-nucleotide ribosomal RNA is filed under the name uncultured bacterium. Its description in RNAcentral is "bacterial SSU rRNA". It matches the Rfam family "Bacterial small subunit ribosomal RNA", at positions 22 to 356 of the family's 1533-position model. The record is from RNAcentral.
GCUCAGGACGAACGCUGGCGGCGCGCCUAACACAUGCAAGUCGAACGAGCGAGAGAGAGCUUGCUUUCUCGAGCGAGUGGCGAACGGGUGAGUAACGCGUGAGGAACCUGCCUCAAAGAGGGGGACAACAGUUGGAAACGACUGCUAAUACCGCAUAAGCCCACGACCCGGCAUCGGGUAGAGGGAAAAGGAGCAAUCCGCUUUGAGAUGGCCUCGCGUCCGAUUAGCUAGUUGGUGAGGUAAUGGCCCACCAAGGCGACGAUCGGUAGCCGGACUGAGAGGUUGAACGGCCACAUUGGGACUGAGACACGGCCCAGACUCCUACGGGAGGCAGCAGUA